GCCUACAACCAUACCACCCUGAAUGCGCCCGAUCUCGUCUGAUCUCGGAAGCUAAGCAGGGACGAGCCUGGUUAAUACUUGGAUGGGAGACUGCCUGCGAAUGCCAGGUGUUGUAGGCU
RNAcentral lists this ribosomal RNA (119 nucleotides) under Petromyzon marinus (sea lamprey). Lineage: Eukaryota; Metazoa; Chordata; Hyperoartia; Petromyzontiformes; Petromyzontidae. The record is from RNAcentral.